RNAcentral lists this ribosomal RNA (419 nucleotides) under bacterium. RNAcentral's name for it is "partial 16S ribosomal RNA". It matches the Rfam family "Bacterial small subunit ribosomal RNA", at positions 355 to 776 of the family's 1533-position model. The record is from RNAcentral.
UGGGGGAUAUUGCACAAUGGGCGAAAGCCUGAUGCAGCGACGCCGCGUGGGGGAUGAAGGCCUUCGGGUUGUAAACUUCUUUUGCUCUGAACAAGGCAUGCUAAUGGGUGUGUUGAGUGUAGGGGUUGAUUAGCGCCGGCUAACUACGUGCCAGCAGCCGCGGUAAUCCGUAGGGCGCGAGCGUUGUCCGGAAUUAUUGGGCGUAAAGGGCUUGUAGGUGGCUGGUUGCGUCUGUCGUGAAAGCUCAUGGCUUAACUGUGGGUUUGCGGUGGGUACGGGCUGGCUUGAGCGCAGUAGGGGAGGCUGGAAUUCCUGGUGUAGCGGUGGAAUGCGCAGAUAUCAGGAGGAAUACCGGUGGCGAAGGCGGGUCUCUGGGCUGUUACUGACACUGAGGAGCGAAAGCAUGGGGAGCGAACAGG